AUUGAACGCUGGCGGCAUGCCUUACACAUGCAAGUCGAACGGCAGCACGGGAGCAAUCCUGGUGGCGAGUGGCGAACGGGUGAGUAAUACAUCGGAACGUGCCCAAUCGUGGGGGAUAACGCAGCGAAAGCUGUGCUAAUACCGUAUACGAUCUACGGAUGAAAGCAGGGGAUCGCAAGACCUUGCGCGAAUGGAGCGGCCGAUGGCAGAUUAGGUAGUUGGUGAGGUAAAGGCUCACCAAGCCGUCGAUCUGUAGCUGGUCUGAGAGGACGACCAGCCACACUGGGACUGAGACACGGCCCAGACUCCUACGGGAGGCAGCAGUGGGGAAUUUUGGACAAUGGGCGAAAGCCUGAUCCAGCCAUGCCGCGCGUACGAUGAAUGCCUUCGGGUUGUAAACUGCUCUUGUACGGAACGAAACGGCCUUUUCUAUUAAAGAGGGCUAAUGACGGCACCGUUAGAAUUAGCACCUGCUAACUACUGU
RNAcentral lists this ribosomal RNA (484 nucleotides) under Variovorax paradoxus. RNAcentral describes it as "bacterial SSU rRNA". It matches the Rfam family "Bacterial small subunit ribosomal RNA", at positions 30 to 507 of the family's 1533-position model. Lineage: Bacteria; Pseudomonadati; Pseudomonadota; Betaproteobacteria; Burkholderiales; Comamonadaceae. The record is from RNAcentral.